RNAcentral lists this ribosomal RNA (465 nucleotides) under Vreelandella stevensii. Its description in RNAcentral is "partial 16S ribosomal RNA". It matches the Rfam family "Bacterial small subunit ribosomal RNA", at positions 338 to 795 of the family's 1533-position model. The record is from RNAcentral. Lineage: Bacteria; Pseudomonadati; Pseudomonadota; Gammaproteobacteria; Oceanospirillales; Halomonadaceae.
CCUACGGGCGGCAGCAGUGGGGAAUAUUGGACAAUGGGGGCAACCCUGAUCCAGCCAUGCCGCGUGUGUGAAGAAGGCCCUCGGGUUGUAAGGCACUUUCAGUGAGGAAGAACGCCUGGUGGUUAAUACCCAUCAGGAAAGACAUCACUCACAGAAGAAGCACCGGCUAACUCCGUGCCAGCAGCCGCGGUAAUACGGAGGGUGCGAGCGUUAAUCGGAAUUACUGGGCGUAAAGCGCGCGUAGGUGGCUUGAUAAGCCGGUUGUGAAAGCCCCGGGCUCAACCUGGGAACGGCAUCCGGAACUGUCAAGCUAGAGUGCAGGAGAGGAAGGUAGAAUUCCCGGUGUAGCGGUGAAAUGCGUAGAGAUCGGGAGGAAUACCAGUGGCGAAGGCGGCCUUCUGGACUGACACUGACACUGAGGUGCGAAAGCGUGGGUAGCAAACAGGAUUAGAUACCCUAGUAGUC